This 247-nucleotide ribosomal RNA is filed under the name uncultured bacterium. RNAcentral's name for it is "partial 16S ribosomal RNA". It matches the Rfam family "Bacterial small subunit ribosomal RNA", at positions 8 to 235 of the family's 1533-position model. The record is from RNAcentral.
AGAGUUUGAUCCUGGCUCAGGAUGAACGCUGGCGGCGUGCUUAACACAUGCAAGUCGAACGAAGCACCAUGGACAGAAUUUUUCGGAAGGACGACUAUGGCGACUUAGUGGCGGACGGGUGAGUAACGCGUGGGUAACCUGCCCUGUACCGGGGGACAACAGUUGGAAACGACUGCUAAUACCGCAUAAGCGCACAGCAUCGCAUGAUGCAGUGUGAAAAACUCCGGUGGUACAGGAUGGACUCGCG